UAAAUUUUUUUUUUUUUAAAAAAAGCACCAAUCCAAGCUCCACUGACUCUCUAGAAGAUAUUUUGUAUUUGGGACUUGCUGAACUCCAGGGUAAUUUUAUUUUUUAUGGAGUGAACUGGCCAAAAAACAGCCUUUAAAAAAGCCUUUUGGGUUAAUAGAUAAUUGGUUCAAAUUUUAACAUUCAUUUUCCCUUGUAAAUUUUACUGAUGUACCACACACCUAAAAAGAACUUAUAAAACAUAGGUUUUUCUAGCAAAUAAUAAAAAAUAAUUGUUCGAGUUUGGAAAAUAUAGGGGUUAUUGUGUGCUAAUAAUGGAACGAUAUGUAAAGGUGGCAAUAGAACAGGGAUUAGACCUUUAAGAAUGCUACCAUGUUAAAUGGUCAAUUGCUCAAAAAAUUGAUAAUUAUUUUUCAAUCUUAUUGUUAAAAGAUUGAUUAUAUCAAACGCUUACAUUUUUUGCUGCUGUGCUAAAAGCUUCCCUGUGGCUGAUGUCAGGAUUACUAGCCUUGAUCCUUUGAAUUUCCUC
This 527-nucleotide unclassified non-coding RNA is filed under the name Hevea brasiliensis (rubber tree). The record is from RNAcentral. Lineage: Eukaryota; Viridiplantae; Streptophyta; Magnoliopsida; Malpighiales; Euphorbiaceae.